GACGAACGCUGGCGGCGUGCCUAAUACAUGCAAGUCGAACGCAGUGGGGACGGGUGAGUAACACGUGGGUAACCUCCCAUCAGAGGGGAUAACACUUGGAAACAGGUGCUAAACCGAUACUGAUGGAUGGACCCGCGGUGCAUUAGCUAGUUGGUGGGGUAACGGCUCACCAAGGCCACGAUGCAUAGCCGACCGAGGAGGGUGAGCGACCACACUGGAACUGAGACACGGCCCAGACGCCUACGGGAGGAAGCAGGAGGGAAUCUUCGGAAAUGGACGAAAGUCUGACCGAGCAACGCCGCGUGAGUGAAGAAGGUUUUCGGAUCGUAAAACCCUGUGGUGAGAGAAGCGAUAUCUAACCAGAAAGCCACGGCUAACUACGUGCCAGCAGCCGCGGUAAUUC
RNAcentral lists this ribosomal RNA (403 nucleotides) under uncultured bacterium. RNAcentral's name for it is "partial 16S ribosomal RNA". It matches the Rfam family "Bacterial small subunit ribosomal RNA", at positions 28 to 526 of the family's 1533-position model. The record is from RNAcentral.